AAGGCUUUAAGUUAAUAUUUAAACUAAUAACCUUCAAAGCUAUAAAUAAAGUAAUCUUUAAGCCUUA
RNAcentral lists this transfer RNA (67 nucleotides) under Polyphaga plancyi. RNAcentral's name for it is "tRNA-Trp". Lineage: Eukaryota; Metazoa; Arthropoda; Insecta; Blattodea; Corydiidae. The record is from RNAcentral.